UCCCUGGUGGCUUAGAGGUAAAGAAUCUGCCUGCAGUGCAGGAGACCUGGGUUCGAUCCCUGGGUUGGGGA
This 71-nucleotide transfer RNA is filed under the name Bos taurus (domestic cattle). It matches the Rfam family "tRNA". Rfam says of the family: Transfer RNA (tRNA) molecules are approximately 80 nucleotides in length. Their secondary structure includes four short double-helical elements and three loops (D, anti-codon, and T loops). Further hydrogen bonds mediate the characteristic L-shaped molecular structure. tRNAs have two regions of fundamental functional importance: the anti-codon, which is responsible for specific mRNA codon recognition, and the 3' end, to which the tRNAs corresponding amino acid is attached (by aminoacyl-tRNA synthetases). tRNAs cope with the degeneracy of the genetic code in two manners: having more than one tRNA (with a specific anti-codon) for a particular amino acid; and 'wobble' base-pairing, i.e. permitting non-standard base-pairing at the 3rd anti-codon position. RNAcentral also lists the same sequence under 1 other name. The record is from Rfam by way of RNAcentral. Lineage: Eukaryota; Metazoa; Chordata; Mammalia; Artiodactyla; Bovidae.